RNAcentral lists this ribosomal RNA (496 nucleotides) under uncultured bacterium. RNAcentral's name for it is "partial 16S ribosomal RNA". It matches the Rfam family "Bacterial small subunit ribosomal RNA", at positions 28 to 507 of the family's 1533-position model. The record is from RNAcentral.
GAUGAACGCUGGCGGCGUGCCUAAUACAUGCAAGUCGAGCGAACGGACGAGAAGCUUGCUUCUCUGAUGUUAGCGGCGGACGGGUGAGUAACACGUGGAUAACCUACCUAUAAGACUGGGAUACUUCGGGAAACCGGAGCUAAUACCGGAUAAUAUUUUGAACCGCAUGGUUCAAAAGUGAAAGACGGUCUUGCUGUCACUUAUAGAUGGAUCCGCGCUGCAUUGGCUAGUUGGUAAGGUAACGGCUUACCAAGGCAACGAUGCAUAGCCGACCUGAGAGGGUGAUCGGCCACACUGGAACUGAGACACGGUCCAGACUCCUACGGGAGGCAGCAGUAGGGAAUCUUCCGCAAUGGGCGAAAGCCUGACGGAGCAACGCCGCGUGAGUGAUGAAGGUCUUCGGAUCGUAAAACUCUGUUAUUAGGGAAGAACAUAUGUGUAAGUAACUGUGCACAUCUUGACGGUACCUAAUCAGAAAGCCACGGCUAACUACGUG